This 511-nucleotide ribosomal RNA is filed under the name Hymenoscyphus tetrasporus. RNAcentral's name for it is "eukaryotic LSU rRNA". The stretch from base 170 to 323 matches the Rfam family "5.8S ribosomal RNA". The record is from RNAcentral. Lineage: Eukaryota; Fungi; Ascomycota; Leotiomycetes; Helotiales; Helotiaceae.
AAGGAUCAUUACAGCGUUCCUGCCCUUACGGGUAGAAACCCCACCCUUGUAUAUACUAUAUUGUUGCUUUGGUAGGCCGCCUCACGGCGCCGGCUCACGCUGGCUCGUGCCUGCCAGAGGACCUUAAACUCUGAGUUAAAAUGUCGUCUGAGUACUAUUUAAUAGUUAAAACUUUCAACAACGGAUCUCUUGGUUCUGGCAUCGAUGAAGAACGCAGCGAAAUGCGAUAAGUAAUGUGAAUUGCAGAAUUCAGUGAAUCAUCGAAUCUUUGAACGCACAUUGCGCCCCUUGGUAUUCCGAGGGGCAUGCCUGUUCGAGCGUCAUUUUGACCAACUCCUACUCCGGUAGGGUCUUGGGCUUCGCCUCCGGGCGGGCCUUAAAAUCAGUGGCGGUGCCUUAAGGCUCUACGCGUAGUAAAUUUCUCGCGAUAGGGUCCUUGAGGUUACCUGCCAGCAACCCCCAACUUCUUAAGGUUGACCUCGGAUCAGGUAGGGAUACCCGCUGAACUUAA